CGGCGGCGGCGGCGGCGGCGGCGGCGGGCGGAGUGAGCUGCGGAGCCUGGAAUAUGGUGGGGGAAAUGGAAACGAAGGAGAAGCCGAAGCCCACCCCAGAUUACCUGAUGCAGCUGAUGAACGACAAGAAGCUCAUGAGCAGCCUGCCCAACUUCUGCGGGAUCUUCAACCACCUCGAGCGGCUGCUGGACGAAGAAAUUAGCAGAGUACGGAAAGACAUGUACAAUGACACAUUAAAUGGCAGUACAGAGAAAAGGAGUGCAGAGUUGCCUGACGCUGUGGGACCUAUUGUUCAGUUACAAGAGAAACUUUAUGUGCCUGUAAAAGAAUACCCAGAUUUUAAUUUUGUUGGGAGAAUCCUUGGACCUAGAGGACUUACUGCUAAACAGCUUGAAGCAGAAACAGGAUGUAAGAUCAUGGUCCGAGGCAAAGGCUCAAUGAGGGAUAAGAAGAAGGAGGAGCAAAAUCGAGGCAAGCCUAAUUGGGAGCAUCUCAAUGAAGAUUUACAUGUACUGAUCACUGUGGAAGAUGCUCAAAACAGAGCAGAGAUCAAACUGAAGAGAGCCGUUGAGGAAGUGAAGAAGUUACUGGUACCUGCAGCAGAGGGAGAAGACAGCCUGAAGAAGAUGCAGCUGAUGGAGCUUGCGAUUCUCAACGGCACCUACAGAGAUGCCAACAUUAAAUCACCAGCCCUUGCCUUUUCUCUUGCAGCGACAGCCCAGGCUGCUCCAAGGAUUAUCACCGGGCCUGCACCCGUGCUCCCACCAGCCGCCCUGCGCACUCCGACGCCGGCUGGCCCUACCAUAAUGCCUUUGAUCAGACAGAUACAGACCGCUGUCAUGCCAAACGGAACUCCUCACCCUACUGCUGCAAUAGUUCCUCCAGGGCCCGAGGCUGGGUUAAUCUACACACCCUACGAAUACCCUUACACGUUGGCACCAGCUACAUCAAUCCUUGAGUAUCCUAUUGAACCUAGUGGUGUAUUAGGUAUGGCUUUCCCAACGAAAGGCUAAGAAUUCAAGAACGGUCUUAACUGAACCCUCAUCAGAUCUGAAUUUAACAAAUGCUUAGUCUCAGCAGCCUCCAGGGGGGUGGGAGGGAAGCUUAGCCUAGCAGUCAGUGACUUACUUGCACUUUUUGCACACUGAUAGAAAGUAAAAGUUUGUUAUUAAUUGGUUUAGUCUGUAACCUUACAAAGUAACGGUGAUUUAUACAGGAGUGUAUAGUAGUAUACUGACUGCUAAGUGUACUAUACUGUUUGCUUUACUAAUCACCUAAUUCAUUGCAGUUCAUACUUAUUGACUCGAAGUUUAGAACCACAAUCUGUAGGCUUUAAGAAUUGCAUUUAAACCUUCUUAAGUGAUAGACUCUGGAAGUGUGGUCUUAAGGUUAGCAAAUAAUUGUCAGUAUUAAACAUGGCAUUAUUUAAGUAGUCCUGCUGCAAGAAAGGCACUUCAGUGAAUAUGUGACUAGUAAAGCCUAACUAUGUUUGGAUCUAAUAGAGUUCAUGAAAUCUGUAACUUGGGAUUAUAAAUGAAUGGAUAAAAUAGGUUAAGGCCAAGAUGAUUGAAAUGAAUGCAAUAUUAAUAGAUGCAUAUAUACGCAACAUAUAAUGGUUAAUUUUAAGACUACUGUGCCUUAACGUGUUUCCUAAAACAAAACUUUUGUAGUAAAUGAACAUUUGAAAUCCAUUGUGAUAAACCUGCUGUUAAUGUUUGUUUUCUUUUCCCUUGUGAAUGUUUUCUAACUUUGUCUUGGUAAUUGCAAUUUAACUAGGUGCGGUGGCUACUAAAGUUCGAAGGCACGAUAUGCGUGUCCAUCCUUACCAAAGGAUUGUGACCGCAGACCGAGCCGCCACCGGCAACUAACCUAUGACCUUCUGACCUCUGAACUCUUCACCCAAUGAUGACCUGACCAUGCCUGCCUGCUGAUCAGUUAACUGGUAAUCGCCUUUGCUUGCCUGUCGUCAGUGCAGCGAGCUGAGGCACUUGUCCGUUCGUCUUACCAUCUAACCAAACAAAAGACAAAGAAAUCGUUGUCCUCCAACUCAGCUUUCGUUUGUUUUGUUUUGUUAUUUCUUUUUCUGUUUGGGUGAAAGUGGUUCUAGACCCUGCACUGAAGAGUGUAAAGCAAUAAGGCCCAAUCCAUCCCCCAGCACUGACCACCUUUCAGUGUCCGCCCUAAGCGAACGGUGAGAAGGCCUCACUGCAGAAGGGCCAGCGACAGAGGCAGUUACUGUGAGAGACUUCUAGGAACCUCUCUGCGUAGCGAGUCAGAGCUCUGAAUGUACUGUGCUGAUGCAUCAUGCAUGAACCUUUGGUCAGGGGUGUCAUUGGUGAAGCGAUUUCAAAAAGUAUUCAAAAUUUGACCUGCUCUUUAGUCACUACAGUGCCCUCAAAGGGCAGAAGUCGCAGCCUUUUUUAUAUUGCCUGCCAAAAUUUGAAGUAUUAGAAGUGUGCCAUGAGAGAAAAACUUAACAAGGAAUUUUGGAAAGUAAUGCAAAGAACAAAACUGCAACACUAUUUUUUAAAAGAUAAAUAUCUGAGUUAAAAUUACUGAACCUUUAUUUUACACCUCCUUUAAAAAAUAUAUGAGAACAAGGUACAUGCAUUAUGUGUCACAUUACUGGGCAAACUGUUCAAAUAUUUUUUUUAAACCUCCCUGUAUAGAAAAAAAUCAUUAAGGAUGUAAAAGCCAUGCUUGCCUAUUUGCUGUAUACAUGUAAUGAAAUUGUAGAUAAAGUGUAGUGCAUUGAAACAAAUGAACAAAAAAAGUAGAUACUUUUACUAUACAAGGGUGCUGGUGCAGAAAAAAUAUAUAUAUUUUUGGAAAUGUAGCAUUUUAUACUUUCAAGUGUUAUAAAAAAAAGAAAAAGAACAAAGAAACCCUUUAUUUCAUUAAAUGAUUUUUUCUGGUGGUUGUCAAGAAACAAAAGACCAAAAGAGCCUUUUUGUCUUUCUUUUUUAUUUUUUAAGUAUUGGAAUAAGUCUAAAGAAAAGAAAGUGCCUUAUUUUUCUUCAUGGUCAUUUAGUCAAGUGUCUUGUAAGAUCAGCUCCUCCCUCAGAAUACAAGUCAAUGCCUGUCACUCAGUCGCCCAGUAUGUGAAAGAAGAUGUGAGGGGAGACACGUGAGUUGAUGGUUUGAAUUAAAUGAUUUUUGCCACAUUACCUUGAUAUCAAUUUGCCAAAUCUGAUACUGUGAAAAAAUUUGAUAACUUUUCUAAUUCCUAACAAGUAAGUUUGAAAACAUCCUUUUAAAAUCACAAUUGAGUGCUUUUGGUAAUUGGUAUACGUAAUGUUAGCCCAAAGGGUUCUGAAAUAAACAUUACGUGUGAUUAGAACACCAUUUCAUAGACAAAAUUAGAACUCUUAUUUGGUGGGCGUGUUGUUGGAUUUUUUUCUUAUUAAUCGGUGGUAAUAGUAUACACAGCAGUCUUUUUCAUAAGAGUGAAUCUUUGUGAUUUUCAUUCUGGAUAACAGUGUUUGUAAAUGACCCAAAUUUAAAUCAGACUCAUUUCUACAGAACCAGAUCACUUGUGUAGUCCAUCUCUGCUGGUUUCAGUGGCCUAAGCCGCGUACACACACACACACACACACACACACACACACACACACACACACACACACACACACACACACACACACACACACACACACACACACACACACACACACACACACACACACACACACACACACACGCCCCCAGCCCCCGUUUAACUUUAAAGGAAUGAGAGAAACUAGCAUCAUUGUGCAUAGACUACUCAACUACAUGUGAGUAUGAACUUGCAGUUUCUCCGGACGUUCAGUCGGUUUUGUGGCUGAAGUGAUCUAUGCACAAAGCUCUGCAUCGGAACUCGAGCUUGCAGAUCUCACUGACCUGUAAGUGAGCAUUAAAUGCCCAGUACCAGAUGUGGCAAAUGGCGAGUGGCUGUAGGUCCCCAGCUCAUCAACUCCUGCCCUCUGCAUACCGUCACGGCUUCACAGUCAAAGGUCAGCAUAAGCUCAGUAAGCACCUUCGCGGUGACCUCCGUCAUCUUGUCCCCUUGGAAACCGUUUUCAGUUUAUUUACUAUGCAAUAGACAUUUGUUGUUUUGUAUUCAGCUAGCUUUGGUUUAGUGUGACACUGCUUGUCUUUCUGUUACACAUAGAGUUGUUUUGCUUGAUUUACCAUAUGUGCUGUGCCAUUUUGAUUUUUAUUUUGUUUGGUUGGUUGAAUAAAUUUGCGACACUCAAACACUUGAGGUGAUAGUUUAAAAACGAUACCAGUAUUUGAUCCAGUUUCAUCUCAACUGUGUUAUACCUGGACAUUUUAGAUGUUUAUCAAAGGUCUUUUAUGGGGAAGAAAGUAAAUGUAUGAAAUAAAUGCGUGACAUUGAUGAGUAAUGUUGGCUCUGAACAAACGUUUGAAAACUUAGUUGAUAAAAUUUUGGAUCAACUGAAAAAAAGCAUGACUUUUGAAAUCUCUGAAUGCCUUGGUUCUCAGUAUUAUCAUUCUUUAUUGAAUUUCUUUCUUAUUAAAAUAUGUAGUUUUUAAGCCUUUUUUUCUGACAGUAUUAUGUAAUUUUUUAGCGCGGGUAGAUGGGAGUGUCGCUUGUAUGUUACCGUACGGCUGACAUGUAUUUUUGUCUAUUCUUUAUUAUCUCAGUAGUUUCAUGCUAUGUAUGUACCAUAACCAACCUAUUGCCUAUGAGAAACAUGUAAGAUAAUGUAUUUACAGCCAUUGUUACAAGUUUAUAAUGUAUUUUUCUAUCUUGUUUUAUAUGUAUGUUAUAUAACAUUCAAAAAGAAUUUUUUUCUUGAUUGAGAAAAGGAUACAAAAUGCAGAAUCCACAAUUUUGAUAACUGAAAAUUGCCAAUUGUUUUCCAGUACUUUAUUACAUUGGGUGUCUUGUCUUUCUUGGGCUUUUAGUUAGCUAAUGAAUGAAUACAUUAGACACUUUUGGGUUUUAGUUGGGAUUUUACAUAGCUUGCAUUUUAAUUCUUUGGUUCUUUGCUGUUUCUAUUAACCCAUAGCAUUAUUUUAAUAAAUGUUAUAAUAUCAACCUACUAACUCUGGACUAUGUCUGUUUAUUAACCUUUACAUGUUUAAUUAAAAUAAACAAAUAAAGACAAAAGAAUGUAAAGUCUUGAAUUACUGGACUAACCCUGAAGAAAGUGACCACAGAUAACAUAGCGUGACUUGUUUUUAUGUUGUUUGUCAGCUGACAGUUCCGCGCACUACUGUUAAAAUGGCUUUGGUUAUUCUGGCCUUUUACCUUGGGGGGUAGGUGCCAGUAGAGACGGGAACAAAGUAGUGUUGGUUUGAAGCGUUCUUCUAGUCUUGCCACCUGCCUUUCAACUUGUGCAUUACUAAUUCCACACUUUCUUAUUUUUCCUUCUCCAAAAUAAUCACUGUCUGCUCACAGCAUAAAGAGUAAAGAGAUUUAUCGUAAUGAUAUACCCAAGAAACCAGUUUGAUUCUUUGUUGAACCAUUUUUUAAAUUUCUAUAAGUAGAUAAUCUAAUGGUCACAUUAUAAAGCAAAGCAUCUGAUGACGUUUUACCUUUCUUCAAAUUGGUGUUUUAAUUGGACAUUUUUCCAGUGUAAAGUUAUGAACUGUUUUGGCUAGCUGCUCCUGUUACGGAAAGCCAAAGGUAGAGUGGCUCCGUGUCUCAGGCCAGCCCAGCGUCGGCUGUUGAUGACGACCACGGACGCAGGUCCCUCAGCACGAGGUCAGACGGCAUCGCUGAGCUUGCUCCCUCACCCUCUUCCACAGUACAGUCAGAGUGCAUCAAUGCAAGAAGUCAGGGGGAGGGACCGUGCAUUCGGAAAGGAAUACAUGUAUCAUUGUUUGCAUGGGAGUUAAUUUAAGGAGAUUUAUUAACUUACCUUCCUGCUUUUCUUAGCUGUGGCCUAGGUAAACUGACCUCUACUUACCGAUUCUUUUAACUCUUGAGGUGCAUUUAUGUUUCACAGAUGGUGGUAUUUCUUUUUCUGUGAAAUGGUCCUCCUGGAUGAUAAAAAUUCUCAGGACGAAUUUUUGCAUUUGCAAAUAAUGCCUUAUUUUUGUAAAUUGCUUUUUAUUUAUUUUAAAGUUCUAAAAUUUGGGGCUGAAGUGAGUCACAUGUUACAGAAGACAUAACCACACCAAUAUGGUAUUAACCAGACUGUCAAAACGUAGUCCCAUAGUAUGUAUACAUACAUGAAAUACAUAGAAUAGCGAGAGCAUCAGAUUUAAUCAUAAUUGAGAUGGUUCUUUCGAUCAAACAAAUACACUGCUUCUCUGAUGGGAUGGGGGCAAUCUAUUAUUGUUAGGUAGACAGCUUUAAUAUGCUACUAUCCAUAAAAUUUCACAUUGCCAUACAGUUAAUAUAUAUUAUUUUGUAAAAAUUUGAAGAUAACUUUCAAGCUGCUAGUAUACAAGUCAUCAUGGUACCAUGUCACUGAAGUUGAUUAAGAAUUUCUAUGUAUUCUACAUUUUCUGAAGCCUGUGAAUGCAGUCUCAUCUCAUUGUCAGUUAAGAGAACUUUUAUGUAUAAUUACGUUGUAUUGCCACCUUUUAUGUUGGAAAAGUCCCGUUUUAAAAGGCAAAAAUGACAAAACCCAUUUUUAUACAGGAUACAGUAGAAUUAAACUUGAAAUCGCCAAAUUGUUAGAAUGAUAAAAUGCCAGGGUCAGUUUAUUGUUCUAUAUUACUAGUAUUUGACAAAGCAAUUGGAAGUUAAGCUUUCAGUCGAGAAGUUGGUAAAGUUAUAUAUUUGCAGUCAAGCAUUUUCCUCUGGGAAAAUAGAGCAUGAAAGUCGAUAUUCACCAACACACUAGUGCAGUCUGUGCGGGAGAGCCACCUCGGGGGCGGUCAGAGCGCCCUGUCCAUAAAGCCAAGAUGUGCGAAUGUUCACACAAGAUAGGAGGUGGUUAAGGUUUCUCAAUAAAUACUGAACAAAUACGAAGGGCUGUAAGUUUUUAAGUACACCAAAAGCAGACGGUAGGUGUAAUUUAAAUGACAUUGAUUUGGUCAUUACCAAAUCAAGACUCUUCUUUACCAGCUACCUUUUAUAAAUGACAGUCUAUAAAGUUUCUCCAGUUUGAGGGGAAGGGGUUUGUGUGUUUGAAAUAAGAUGUCUAUCAUGUCUUGGUAACAAUUAGCAAUUGUAGGGUUACCAGCAAGUGAUUUUUAGUAGAAUGAAAUGUAUUGCUAGAUUAUAAUCCAUUAUUUAAUAGCAAAAGUUAUCCAGAGAACUUUUUAUAGACUCAUAAACUUUCUAAGUAAACGUAAUUUUUAAACAUCCUCAAAAGUUUCUUACUAUUUAAAAUGGAAAAAUAAUUCAUCUUAUAGAUAAUUUUACUUUUAGAGAGAUUCAUAUGGUACACACAUGUAAUUUUAUCUGUGGUUUCUUUUAACAUAUUACCUAAGCUGAAAUGCCUUUGCUAUGAAGACACAUAACAAAAUUAUAUACCUUCCUGGUACUCAAUGCUGAAUCAAACUGGUUCCCCUGAGUGUAGUGCUGUCCUUUCUGUGUUUCUGCUGCACUAAUUGCAGGGGGUUGGGAGAGAAGGAGAAGAAUUAAUUCAUAGGAGAAGUGGUCGGUAGGUGCAGCAAAUAGCACAACCUGGACUUCUCACUGCUUACAAUUUUGCUGUCCCUUCAUGGCAAAAGACACCGCAUUGCAGAUAAAGCACAACUCCCAGAAAAAAAAAAUUUAUAUAUGUAUAUACAUAUCUUUUGAAAAUGCUAUUAUUGAGAAAUUUUGAUUACCAAAUACAUCAUUUGUGGCUUAUAUUGUAGUGGUGUGUAUGAAACAUUUAGAACUCGUGGAAAUUGUCUAUACAGAGAGAAGUUGAAAUAGGCCUUUCCAAAUCGUAUGUGAAUGGAGAACCACGUAUGACUGUACAUGACGUGCAAUAAACCAACUGGAAAAAGUG
This is an RNA transcript of Dama dama (fallow deer), 7904 nucleotides long. It is a transcript of the gene named QKI, KH domain containing RNA binding, with no coding region annotated. The transcript is spliced from 8 exons. The record is from RefSeq and is a predicted model, not a curated record. Lineage: Eukaryota; Metazoa; Chordata; Mammalia; Artiodactyla; Cervidae.